AACGCAGUCGUGUAAAAGUCGUUAUCAAUUUGAACGCGAACGUGAAAACAAACCAUAUUCAAACGUUUCUAUUUUGUAUACGUAAAUAAUAAACCCUGGCUAUUAUUGCCGAUGAAGUUAUAUUCUGUUGGUGAAUUUUGGUUGGAUACCUACUACAAUCUCACACUCGUACAAUAAAAAGCGUAUAAUUAAAUCGUAAAAAAUUAUGUGACACCA
This is a non-coding RNA of Cinara cedri, 216 nucleotides long. NCBI's taxonomy places the organism in Eukaryota, Metazoa, Arthropoda, Insecta, Hemiptera, Aphididae. The record is from the annotation of a GenBank genome assembly.